AUAUAUAUAUGUAGAGUCCGGCUACUAUACUCUUAUGAGUACGAUUGCCCUCGUACUCAUAAGUUGUUUUCGAUGAUAGAGCUUCCGAAUCGACGAUCCACACCGUUAAACGCUAUCUAGAGCAUUCAAAACGUCUAAAAAUCAAAAUUUAUAAUUUUUCAACAUCAUGUACUUUACGAUCAAAAAGUCACAAAAUUGACAAUUUUUAACGGCUGGUAUGGAAUAUUUGCUAGUUUAACGGUGUAAAAGAAUCGAAAUUGGUUGAAUUUUUUAUAGAAAAUUCUAUUCAUUACAUAGAUAAAGAUUAAUAACUCCGAUCAUAAAUUGAAGGAUCCGAUCAUCUAUUUUUAAGACGUCGUUCAAUUUUGACCAUUCAUUUUAUAUCCGCUUGAUGAAAUUUAUUUUGAUUUCAAAAAAUUACGAAAUUUAUUUUCUAGAAGUUUCAAAUACUCUAGAUCAUAUUUAACGGAGUGGAUCGUCGAUUCGGAAGCUCAAUCAAUGAAAACAACUUAUGAGUAUGAAGGACUCUAUACUCAUAAGAAUAUAGUAGCCCUAGC
This 557-nucleotide long non-coding RNA is filed under the name Ananas comosus (pineapple). RNAcentral's name for it is "long non-coding RNA (ACOM_LNC040790)". The record is from RNAcentral. Lineage: Eukaryota; Viridiplantae; Streptophyta; Magnoliopsida; Poales; Bromeliaceae.